AUUUUACAUUUGGUGAGUUUCCAGAUCAGUAUUUUAAAACAGUAAUUUUAUUUAUUAUAUUUUUAUACAUAGAAUUUGCAAAUUACUUUCUGACUACAAAGAAAAACAGAUGCCAAAAUACUCUUCUGAAAACAGCAACCCAGAACAAGACUUAAAGCUGACAUCAGAGGAAGAGUCUCAAAGGCUUAAAGGAAGUGAAAAUAGCCAGCCAGAGAAAAUGUCUCAAGAACCAGAAAUAAAUAAAGGUGGUGAUAGAAAGGUUGAAGAAGAAAUGAAGAAGCACGGAAGUACUCAUAUGGGAUUCCCAGAAAACCUGACUAACGGUGCCACUGCUGGCAAUGGUGAUGAUGGAGUAAUUCCACCAAGGAAAAGCAGAACACCUGAAAGCCAGCAAUUUCCUGACACUGAGAAUGAACAGUAUCACAGGUAAGUCUGUGGCAACAUUGAACAGGAGAUAACUAUAUGCUGUCAAUCUAAUUCAUGAUGAACAAAUUUUAUACUUUUGCUAGGAUAUUCAGCCUUGCCUGUUAAUCAGAAAAAUGAAAAUCAGUAAACAAUGAGUUACCAUUUUUUCCAGUCAUUAAUUUAUUUGAAAAAUAGCCAGCAUUGGCAAAUGUGAGGGAAAAGACAUUUUCUUUUCUUUUCAGUGAACUUUUAUUUUAGCUUCAGGGUACAUGUGCAGGUUUAUUAUAUAGGUAAACUGUAUCAUGGAGGUUUGGGGUACAGAUUAUUUCAUCAGCCACAUAAUAAGCAAAAUACUCGAAAGGUAGUUUUUUGGUCGUCUCCCUCCUGCCAUGCUCCACCCUCAAGUAGGCCCCAGUGUCUGUUAUUCUCCUCUUUGUGUCCAUGAGUUCUCAUGUUUAGUUCCCACUAAUGAGUAAGUAUAUGUGGCAUUUGAUUUUCUGUUGCUGCAUUAGUUUGCUUAGGAUAAUGGCCUCCAGCUCCAUCUGUGUUGCUGCAAGGGAAAUGGUUUCACUGAAAAAGACAUUUCAUACACUGUUGGCAAAUACAUUUUGAACAUUAAUUUAGUAGCAUAUUCACACACACACAGAUAUAUAACAGAGUAAGGAUGUAUAAUACAUGUAAAGGAUAUUUGUGUAGAUAUGUUACAUACAUACUUACAUAUAAGGACAUAUAUUAUAGCAUUAUUAUAUUAAAAAUUUGGAGCUAGUCUACUUCCUUAUCAAUAGGAAAUAGCUCAAUUUCCAUACCCCCAAAAUAAUGUAUUAUGCAACCAUUUUUGAAAAAUGAGGUUAGAUCUAGGGUAUACUGAUUAUUUCACAGAUAAAAUGUAUUUAAAGCAUUUAGUUUGAUGACACAUCUUAAGAGUUCUUGUUAAAAUUCUUGUAAUAUCUGCUGUGUUGGAAAUGGAAGCUACAUGCUACAUUGACACUGUAACUUGUUAGCAACAAGAUUGCUGAUUAUUAAAUUUUUGUUGUCAGUGCCUGAGUGCUGAAAUAUUGGACCCUCAGUCUGAAUAUUGCCAAGGGAUUGUACAUGGGGAUCUAUAUUUAAUAUAAACAUUUCAGUGUAUUGGGUAAAACUUUUAUUAAAAUACAUGAAAGAUCUUUGAUCUACUAAACCAAGAGUUGGCCAGCUUUUUCUGCAAAGAACCAAUUAGUAAAUAUUUUAGGCUUUGUGGACUACGUAUAUUUAUUUUCUUGAGACAGGGUCUGGCUCUGUUUCCCAGGCUGGAGUGCAGUUGUGUGAUCAUGGUUGUGUGAUCACUGCAGCCUCGACUUUCUGGGCUCUAGUGAUCCUCCCACCUCAGCCUCUCUACUAGCUGGGACCACAGGUGUGCAACAUCACACCCAGCUAAUUGACACUAUGGACUGUAAAGUGAAUAAGCAUGGCUGUGUUCCAGGAUACUUGACUUACAAAAACAGUCAGUGGGCCGGAUUUGGCCCACAGAUGCUUAUUUGCUGACCCUUGUGCUAAAAGGAAGGUGCUGCUAAUGCAUUGACUCUUAUAUGUAAAAGUGUCCUGCAUGGGUGACAUUAACUUUCCUUUGAGAAAAGGAUAUAUUUGAGUAUUCACCUCACUAUAUUUUUCCACAGUGACUUCAUGUAAUUUUAAAAACUUCAUUUAUAAAAUAAGAUUAUUUUCUGCAUUUCUCUCACUUUAUUCCUGUUAAUAGAACUCAGUAUUUUACUGUGAUCAAUUACUUUCUGUAUUUGAUGAGUGUCAACUGUCCUAGAAUUGGCUGAUUUUUAUCAAGCAAGAAAUAUUCUUGUUGAGACCUUUAGUAUUUCUUGGUCUUUAUGUAUAAGCAUGAACAAAAUGAUAAUCAGCUUAUGUAAUCUAGAAAUGUUCAAGGGGCCUUUAAAACCUUGGUCUGGCAUUUAAUGCCACAUGUGUAUAAUUUUUAUAACCUUUGAAAUAUAUAAUUGUUACAUAGCAUUUGAAACCUCCACCUGUUAUGUAAAAUUUGGAAACUAUUUCUUGUCUAUCACUUUUCCAUGACUGUGGACGAAAAUUACAUCAUUCUCAGUCAUGAGUGUUAAGUAUGUUGUCCUUUAAGUAACUGUCUACACUCACGAACUCAAAUUUUCUUUCCAUUCACUCUUGAUCUCAAUGCCAGUAAGUCUUCAAUUUCAGUACUCCUCCAGAGUUGUUUUUCUCGAGGUUAUCACUACUUUUUUCUGUAAAUAAAUCUAUGCAUUUUUUCUUACACCUCAUUUUAUUUAAUGGGUCAGCAAUAUUUGAGCCAAUGGAGGGCAUCUUCUCCCUAACGGCGUCUUCAUUUGUCUUUCAGGACCUCACUCCCUCAGGCUUUUACUCCUGCCUUUCUAGUCCAUUCAUCAUGGUCUGUUUUGCUUGCUCCUCCUCAUCUUUCUCCUUUUGGACAUUGUUGUUUCUCAUGGCUCCGUCCUCAAUCUUCUUUCUCAUGACUUUUUUUUUUUUUUUAAGAUGAAGUCUGGCUUUGUCCCCUAGGCUCGUGUUCAUUGGCACGAUCUUGGCUCAUUGCAACCUCUGCCUCCUGGCUUCCAGCGCUUCUCCUGCCUCAGCCUCCUGAGUAGCUGGGAUUACAGGUGUGUGACACCAUACCUGGCUAAUUUUUGUAUUUUUAGUAGUGACAGGGUUUCCCCAUGUUGGCCAGGCUGACCUCAAACUCCUGAUGUCAGGUGAUCUGCCCGCCUUGGCCUCACGAAGCGUUGCGAUUACAGGCCUGAGCCACACUGCCUGGCCCUUCAUGACUUUUUCUACUGUAUAUAUGCUAGUGAUUUCCAAAUGCAUGUCUCCAACUCAGAUCUCACUCCUUAAUCCAGAUCUCUGUAUCAGCCUGGCUACUUGACAGGCCUAGCGUAUCAGACGUAGCUGCCUAAUAAAUAGUUAUUUGAUUAGCUGUUGGGUAUCACACACUUGUCAGAUCCAAAAUUGGGCUACUGAUGGCCUUCCUGAAAUCUACACCUCAUGUAGUCUUUCCUACUUUGGUUAAUGGCAACUCUUCCAGUUGCUCUGCCAAAAACCUCGGUGUCAUUCUAGACUCAUCUUUGUCUCUGUCUUGACACUUCACAUCUAAUCUCUCAGUAAAUCUCAUCAGGUCUACCUGAAGAAUAUGUCCAGAAGCCAGUCAUAUCUUGUACAUCUGAGCCACCAUCAUCUGCCGUCUAGAUGAGUGUCAUAGACUGGGAAUUGAUAGUCCUGGUUUUUAAAAACUUCCCCUUUCAUCAAUUCUUAACUCAGUGGAUGUAUUUAAAACAUAAGUCAAAUUGUGUCAUUCCCCUGCCCCAGCCCUUCUGAUUGCCUCCCAUUUCACGCUGA
Pan paniscus (pygmy chimpanzee) is the source of this 3765-nucleotide long non-coding RNA. Lineage: Eukaryota; Metazoa; Chordata; Mammalia; Primates; Hominidae. The record is from Ensembl.